Molecule: long non-coding RNA, 564 nt
Organism: Panicum virgatum (switchgrass)
Lineage: Eukaryota; Viridiplantae; Streptophyta; Magnoliopsida; Poales; Poaceae
Exons: 2
Source: RefSeq, a predicted model, not a curated record
UCCCUCCAUCUCUUGGUCUCUCUCUCUCACGCUCCUGCCCCACGAGAGCUCGCUCGCGGCGGCGGCCGCCGGCCCCCCAGCGCCGCCCCCAAGCCGCGCCCUGCACGCCGACGACGCGCCGCACUCCCCCGACGCGCCGCACGCCCCGGCUCCCGGUCGGCGCAGGACGACCCCGACGCGCCGCCCCCCUGCUCCCGGCCGGCCGGCGCGGCGCACGCCCCUGCCACCGGCCCCCAGCGCGCCAUGCUCGAGAUGUCGAGCUGCUCCAGAGAAGAGGAGCCCCACAAAGAAGUUGAAGCCAAGGAGAAUGAAACUCACAUGAUUACACUGAGAACUAUGUCCAAGUGCUAUUGUUUAGACCUAUGUAUUGUGAUUGUAUGGACCUAUGUACUUUGAAUCUAUCUGCAUGUGAUCUGCUAUUUGAAUCUAUGUAUGUACCUAUGUACUUUGAAUCUAUUUAAAUGUAAUCUGCUAUUUGAACUAGAUGUGAUCUGCUAUUUGAAUCUAUGUAUGGACCUAUGUACUUUGAAUCUAUUUAAAUGUAAUAUGCUUGCUUUAUGUCCA